This 21-nucleotide unclassified non-coding RNA is filed under the name Mus musculus (house mouse). Its description in RNAcentral is "oocyte_clustered_small_RNA8835". Lineage: Eukaryota; Metazoa; Chordata; Mammalia; Rodentia; Muridae. The record is from RNAcentral.
GCGGCGGAAACGGCGGCGGGG